This 72-nucleotide transfer RNA is filed under the name Camelus bactrianus (Bactrian camel). It matches the Rfam family "tRNA". Rfam says of the family: Transfer RNA (tRNA) molecules are approximately 80 nucleotides in length. RNAcentral also lists the same sequence under 2 other names. The record is from Rfam by way of RNAcentral. Lineage: Eukaryota; Metazoa; Chordata; Mammalia; Artiodactyla; Camelidae.
GGGUGCAUAGCUCAGUGGUAGAGCAUGUGCUUGGCAUGCACAAGGUCCUGGGUUCAAUCCCCAGUGCCUCCA